Molecule: ribosomal RNA, 253 nt
Filed under: uncultured bacterium
Lineage: Bacteria
Description: partial 16S ribosomal RNA
Rfam family: Bacterial small subunit ribosomal RNA
Source: RNAcentral
UACGGGGGGGGCAAGCGUUGUUCGGAAUUACUGGGCGUAAAGGGCUCGUAGGCGGCCAACUAAGUCAGACGUGAAAUCCCUCGGCUUAACCGGGGAACUGCGUCUGAUACUGGAUGGCUUGAGUUCGGGAGAGGGAUGUGGAAUUCCAGGUGUAGCGGUGAAAUGCGUAGAUAUCUGGAGGAACACCGGUGGCGAAGGCGGCAUCCUGGACCGACACUGACGCUGAUGAGCGAAAGCCAGGGGAGCAAACGGG